Molecule: long non-coding RNA, 1299 nt
Filed under: Anolis carolinensis (green anole)
Lineage: Eukaryota; Metazoa; Chordata; Lepidosauria; Squamata; Anolidae
Description: lncRNA (ENSACAG00000039434.1)
Source: RNAcentral
ACACCAUCUAUUAGGCUCAUCACUGGAUCCUUCCUAUUGAGGUUCAGCCUUACCUGAACAACAAAGGUUUCCUGAACUCCAGGCAGUUCUUUGUCCUUAGAUAGUGAUCCAUAACUACAGUAGAGUCUCACUUAUCCAACACUCAUUUAUCCAAAGUUCUGGGUUAUCCAACACAUUUUUGUAGUCAAUAUUUUCAAUACAUCGUGAUAUUUUGGUGCGAAAUUCAUAAAUACAGUAAUUACUACAUAGCAUUACUGCGCAUUGAACUACUUUUUAUGUCAAAUUUGUUGUAUAACAUGAUGUUUUGGUGCUUAAUUUGUAAAAUCAUAACCCAAUUUGAUGUUUAAUAGGCUUUUCCUUAAUCCCUCCUUAUUAUCCAACGCUAUUAUUUUUCAGUGAUUGGUUUGGGGGGGAGGCACCAAAAUUCUGUUCGCUUACACUUGAAAAUUACCUUGGGCCGGCCUUGUCUAUGUAAAGGUGCUGUCAUUUCCUUAUGCUUCCUCUUGCUUCAUAGCCACACAGAAUUGAACUUAUUCUGAGUUUAGCUCUUCUGCCUUUUCCUCAGAAAUUCUGACUACCAGAAUGAACCCUCUCUCUGAGAUUUUCCUUUCCUUUCCUAUUCUUUAUACCUCCCCCAGUCCACUCAUGAGCUCUGAUUGUAGCCCCCCUUCCAUUUCUCCAUUUACUCUACUUUCUUACUGGAAUUGUUUGUGAUUUUGUCUUCAGUUUCUCAGCGUGAAGAAACUCCCAUCCAUCAUGAACACUCUUCUUUUUGAAGAUAGAACAGUGUAUUUUCUUAAGUCAGAUGAUGCUGACUUUCUAAAAGUGCACAGGGUGCAUCCAAUUAUACUAAAAUUUCCCUUUCCUCUAUAUGUUGAUUUUAAAGGAAACCUGUUCAUCGCUAUCCAAAAUUCCUAUUACUGUAUUUCUGUAUUGCUGCUCAGUUUCUUCCAUGUUGACAAUGACCGCAUCCAAAAUAGUCAGUCCAUUAAUUAUCAGUCAAGCAAAUGAGGAUUUGUUGAAACUUGUUUUUUUUGGCAAAACUUUACUGCUUGAAUUCUCAUAUUAAUUGUGUAUCUCUCUCUCUCUUUUUUAAAUACAGUAGAGUCUCACUUAUCCAAGCUAAACGGGCCAGCAGAAGCUUGGAUAAGCGAAUAUCUUGGAUAAUAAGGAGGGAUUAAGAAAAAGCCUAUUAAACAUCAAAUUAGGUUAUGAUUUUACAAAUUAAGCACCAAAACAUCCUGUUAUACAACAAAUUUGACAGAAAAAAUAGUUCGAUACACAGUAAUGUUAUGUUGU